RNAcentral lists this ribosomal RNA (372 nucleotides) under uncultured fungus. RNAcentral describes it as "LSU rRNA". The record is from RNAcentral. Lineage: Eukaryota; Fungi.
UUGAAAGGGAAACGAUUGAAGUCAGUCGUACCUGCGGGUAAUCAGCCUUUUGGGCAUGAUUCUGUGGAGUGUGAGGAGUUAAACGCCUUCAUGCCUGCAUAUUCGUGUACUUUGGGUGUACUUGCCUGUGUGGUUAGUUAACAUCAAUUUUGGUUAUCAUAAAAUGGCUGGAGGAAUGUAGCUUCGAUUUCGAUUGAAGUGUUAUAGCCUUCGGCAGAUGUGAUGAUCGGGAUUGAGGAUUGCAACGGAUACCCUUCGGGGCUACCUGUCUGAUCUCUGAUCGUUGCUUUGGUGCCGAAAGCGUGCUUACGGUUAUCAAAGUCGAUGGUUAAUAGGUUAGAACGGGUUAAAUUCGUUAAGGAUGUUGACGUA